GGGGAAGACAAAGAGCUCGGCCCGGGCGUAUGAGCGUCCACAAACCCUUGAUCGCUGCCACGUGGCUCUGGGGCUACUUCUGUUAAGCUUAUUUCCUCUCCUUUUAAUCCCUGCGCAAUCAGCGCGCCGCGCUCCCGAAUCUCCUUGAAUUCAGUUCAUUUGAUGGCCCCCCGGAUACUCAACCCAGCCUAAGAGGUGAGCGCAAUAAUUCGUUUAAUGAAUUAUCCGCUCGCUCGUUCGUUCGUUUGACCCCCCGCUCUCGAGAACAAACCGCACCGUUUACCUGUGCGCGCACACACACACACACGCACACGCACACGCACACGCGCGAGCCUGGGCACCUCUACCCACAAACGCAAAACAGGAAAUCCCAAAAGUGCUGUUUUAAAUCCCUCAGACAGCCGUUCCCCACACACACACACACACACACCCAUCACAGCCACAUGCCCACUGUAAUCCCCAUGAUUAGGUCAUUAUUUUCUCUUGGGUUGGCAUUGCGGCUCUGAUCAUGUCUGAUAGCUUUUAUACUACCAACCUGCUGACUGCAUUUUAUCGAUCCGGCACGUGUGUACUCUGUGGGUGCAUGUCUGAGUGUGUGUGUGUGUGUGUGAGUGUGCGUGAGUGUGUGUGUGUGCGCGUGUAUGCUUGUGUGUGCGGUUGUAUUUGUUUUGGGAGGUGGUGACCCAAUUAGUCUGAUUAAAAUCCCACCUGUCACACCCACCCCCCCAGAACAGACACACUCCCAUGGCCAAAAGCUCCCUCAUUAAAGCCAAUAGACAUUACAUUAGAAUUAAAGCCAAUAGACAUUACAUUAGAAUUAAAGCCAAUAGACAUUACAUUAGAAUUAAAGCCUGAUAUGAUGCAGUAUGAUGGAGAGGCGAGGGGCAAGGGGAAAACUAAAGAGCAGUUUGAUUGUGAGAGGACACAUCCUGGUGUCUUUUCCUGCAGAGUGUCCUACAGAGAGGGUGUCAUCUAUAAUUGAUGUGCCGAGCUCACAGGCUCUCUGAGCUGACAGGGGGAGAGAGGGACGCUGCCCUUUCACAGACGCAUUCACACUGUGCAUCUGAAAUAAACACCGGAGACCCAAAAAAGUAAACACCAGCCACCAGGAGCAUCCUGAUCAUCAGUGGGGGAAUAUAAUAAAGAUAACACGCCGGGUCGACCCUCAGGUGACGACUACUGGAUGGCGGCUCCUGGCCUGAGCGAGAAAGCCCUCAGGUGUAGGAGCGGAGGUUACUCUUCAACAAAAAAAAAAACGGCCCAGCCACCUUCCGUAAUGUCCCUUUGGUAACCCCAGACUUAUUACACGUCUAUAAGCAUGACGUGUUCGAGGCCAAGACAACAAGUAACGUGUCUCUCUGCUUGACAAAACAAAUGGAAUGAGAUAAGCGUGUGUAUUUAAAGUAGAUUACAGAUGUGUUGUUUAAAGAGGGCCGUGGUGACAAACAGAAUGUCACCCUAAUGUCCAUCUCGCACGGAGAGAUGCGCCGAGAUGCAGCUGUGCCACUGCAUCUAUUGUGACAAGCGAGAGGCACAAGAAACAACAAAUUCACAUGGACAACUAUGGAGGGGAAAAUGUGUGCCUGUCAAACAGCCUCCUGUUGUAGCAUUUCACAUGAGACUUGCCAAGCAAUGGCAGCAUUUAUUAAAGCACAACACCAGCAGUCAGGGCUGGACACACUACAGAAUCAGUGGCGAGCAGGGAGACCCUGACCAGGAAUGUGAGAGCCCAUUCAGUGGGUUUAAAAAUGCAUUGCACUCACAACAAAGGCUUGCCUUGUGCUCAUUGUGGACUUGGGAGACCAAUGAAAUACUUCCACACUUCCACCGAAACAUGAAAUUUGCUCAUUUUUCUUUAACUCCUACGCCCCUCCUUAAGGGAGAGGGACUAGGGUACCAGAAGACAUGGUGAAUUUAGAGAAGAUCUGAGAGCUCACAAUGCCACUGUGGUUACCAUCAACAUUCAAUUUGGCGUGACUGAUUUUAUCUGGGGAAACGUAUAGCAAAGCCACCCCCCAUGAUCCUUCCUAAUUUACAUUGAUUAUUUCCAUUUGAAUAACUGAAAUCUGAGUCAUUUCAUCGAGUUUUCAAUAUACACUGUUCUAAAUACUAAAUAGUACAACAGCUAUUUGGAGAUGGCCAUCAAGAAGUUACAAAAUCACUGACACCAUAAAAUGGCUCCUCGAACACAACAAAACCUUGUUGCACUACAAGUACAUGCUCAUGAAAAGUCCAUUUUAAAUGAUCUUCUCUUCACCAUGUCAAUUUGAAUAAGUCAAGCACUUAGGCUAACAGGAAAAGAUCUUCUUGUUAUCCAGAAACUGUUGUAAUAACAUACAUAGAUGUUACUUCAUUUAUUUUACCUUCAAAACCUUGCACUGGUUAAGGUUAACGUUCAUCAAUGAAGCAGAGAUUACGCUAGAGAUUAUAAUCUAGCCUGCUCUACUCCAGACCUUCUCUGUAGUUCUUGAAUAACAUUCAAAUCUAGUUAAAAAAAACAAUGUUGAAUCUACAACUGAUUAGGCCUACUUAUUUUGUAAACAAAGCCUUGCAAGAAUUUUUAAUAAGUAUAAUCUUAACAUCAGUCAUUGUUUCUCCCAACCCAGAAUUUGGAUGCAAGUUUCUUUGAAGUUUGAAAGUGUUUGGAAGGAACCCUCAAAACUAACUCAAACAUCUGGAUUCACCAGCGCCGCCAACUCUACAGUGGUCAUUUUUUGUCUGCUUGGAUUAAGAGGCGAUUUAUCUAAUUCAGAACAGUAGGUGGCGCAAAAUACAAAUUGUGUUAGAUCAAAAUUAACAGUUUCUAAUCCAAUUAAAACGGCGGUGAAGUGGAUGUUUCUGCUGGGUUCAAAAGAAAGCACCUGCGAGUUAGUGGCUUGUUUUUAUUUCUUAUUUUAGAAAUUAGUAUAAAACGACUUGUUUUACCGAUCCUGUUAGUCUGCGUUGUUUCUAAGCCUGUUUUGACUACAGCCUACUUGGUUCUGAAAUAGGUUACCGGAGUCAGAACAUACACAAAACUGACUACGAGUCUUCAGUUGUAUGUUUUGUAUCAAUCAAUGAUGAUACAAAUUCCAUUAGGCUACAUGCCGCUUUUUUUGGCACUGUCAGCGUUGUACCGGGGUAAACUCUACUAACAGGUAACGGAUCACUAUUCAGCGAGGUGAGGAUAAUCUUGCAGCCUACUAGUUUUAAUUUAGCUGACAGUGAUGACCCGGCGAGGGUAAGACCGCUCAGCAAAGACCAUGAAAGGUUCAACAUGUAACCGUUUUAAAAAUGGCAAAGCAGCCUAGAUGAUGAAGCUGAACAUUUAUUCAAAAUGCAUAGCCUAAGCAUAAGAGCGUUACAAAGAGGAAGUGGAUCCAGUUAAAUGAGAAAACGAAAUCUUAUCACAUCAACUUCCUUACCAGAAGACGUAGCCUGUCAACCAUUCCUCUAGAACACCUAUCUGAAUUCCUGAAUCGUCCGAAGGAAACCGAUAUUGCCAGAUUGGAUAUAAUAUUUAUAUCGACGUGUGUAAUUUCACAUGCGCUACGCUCUGUAGAAUAUAUCCUUCCAUUGCAUGGCAAAUUCCUGACGUGUUUUGCUCAACCUUCUUUCGGCGCCGUAUAGACUACAGGUUCCGUUCUCUCUCUCUCUCUCUCUCUCUCGUUUCACUUGUGCAAAGAAUGUAGAGCGGCCGCGUGACGUCCCUCCAACUAAACACGGAUGACAACCAGCUCCAGGGUGAACAGAGGGAAACAAAAAGUUGCUAAAGCAAAUCUAAGAAACGGUCAAGAGAAAAAACACCCACCCCAAACUGCCUUCAACACAUACCCUACACAAACAUUGGUAGACAACGCGAAAAUGAUUGCGCAGUAGCCUGAUUGCUGUCAGCUAUUCCAAGCAAAGGCUGUCUGUUGUGACUAUAGCCUACCACUGCAACUUUUUGGGAUAGCCAAGGAAUGUAUCGCUAAACAAUGUGCGAAGGACCACCUAAGUCACUAACAUCAAUAAACAAAUUGAUGCUUUCAUAAUGGAUGAAUUAAUCUAGCCAAACUCUGGCACCGACAAAGUGACUUCGAAAUGACAGUGCUGGCAGGAAAUGGGGGAGUUUGUUCUUCUAAGUAAUGUCUCUCCCUUAUGCAAGGCCUUGUGCACUUGUACACAACAAUACAGUUCCAGUUAAUUCCAAAAAACUGCGCGUCACUACCAGAAAUUCCAUAGCCUACCUCCAAAAAAUUGCAAUUUAUUGACUUGACGAAACCUAGGUAAUUCGUUAUACGAUGUUGAUACGGCAGCCUACAAAAGCCCACUUUGUGAAAAUAAAGAAUUGGCUAUAGUCUCUAGUCUCUGUCUUCACAUCGCUGGAAAAAUAACUUCCGCUGCUGAAUCUGCCUGGUCCACAGAGAAUUGACCUGCGAACAAUAGAUGUCUUCUGAUAAAUCACGUAGUCCAAAACUGUUUGACAUUGAGACGGUUUGACACAGCUUUCGUAAUCUAGUUGAUAGGCAACUAGACCCACCAACCGACUAAAAAAGGUAACCUACAUUAAGACAGCACCGACUGACAACGCUCGUUUGCUUUUAAUGCGCAAACACUGUCGUUUCCAUAAAACGGUCACCACGUGUGAUUUUUUUAAUCAAGUAAUUAGCUAGAUCACGUUGCUCUCCAUGCGCCUUCAUUUUCUCUAUGUAGGCUGAUGUUAGACACAAUGUAGCCAACAGGAUAAAUGGAAGAUCGAGUUUAUAAUGUCGUCAUUUCAAACUUAUACAAAAUUAGAGAAGGCGACCCCCCUCCCCCCUUUCCACCCGCAUCCAACAGAUCCAUGUCCCCCCUCCUCCUCACAGUACAUAUAGGGUAGAGACAGUAGUCGCGACCCAUCCCUUGCAAAAUAGGCAUAGCAUCUAACUACCCCCACUGCUUAAUCUUCCUGAAAGCUGUUUUGUUUCUUAGGGUACCUGACGCCAAGUAAACGUAGCACUUCAUCGACAACCUAAUAUGCCCGAUUUAUGUUAAGAUUAACGAUUCGACAGUAUGGGAGCAUCCAGUGCUUGGGGAAAUAUCGCUUUUCACAGUAUACUCACCUAAGAAAAGGGUGGUAUGUUUAAGAGCCUACAAGUUUUUUCCACAAUGAAACAUCUCAAAUACCUUUUCGGAACAGCUGACGCAGCACUGGAUGUGCUUCUCUUGGCCACUAGUAAACUAACAGCCAACGGUCGAACAUGUUUUCAUUUUCAUAAAUAACCCGAUUAGGUGUUUUUAUUAAAAUGAUGAAUCAUCAAGGAUCAAGGGGAGACAAAUUGUCUACGACCCAUAGUGAAAAUAGGAAGCAUCGUGUUACUGUCUAACAGCAGUGCAGCCUAUCCUACAAUCCUACAAAUGAAUGGAUACAACAAAGUUUAUUCACUGCUUAUCAAGAACAACGCGUGGUUUAUUUUAAAAGUAUGUGAAUGAGUCUUCGACGGCAUGACAGCGCAAAAUGGACUUACAGAGUUUUCUUUCAACUUACCCAAGUGAAUAGCCUGCGCGAUGCCGAACAUCAAUCAGGGAAAAAUUAGGAUGGUUCGAGUGGGAAGACUACGAGGGCUGAAGGUGAAACCAUGCGCUGUGUGGAGACCUGCAAAUGAUUGAGUGAGCCGCGACCAUUGCUCUGAAGGGGAUCACUAAAAAGUGUUUAUACUUUCUAAUCGAAAUUUGAAGCGAUUCGUCUUGUACACCAUUUUGAAGGGCAGCUCAAAAUUAUUUCAUGAACUGAUAAAAGCUGUAGGCUAUUUUAGGUCAUUUUAUCUACUGUGUUUACAAUUUGGUUUGUGACGCACCUUUCCGUUUCGGUGAUUGGUUUGUCCCGUAUUAAACAGAGUCGGUUCAUGCCACUGAGCUUUCCGAAGUCUUAUCGACUCUUCAGUGAAUGCUGAUCAAGUAACAAGUCACUCAUGUUUUUUUCGUUGAUUAACUUUAUACACGUUGUACAUGAUUGGAAAAUUCAAGAGUCCAAAGACCUUAAUGAAUGUAUCUAAGCAAAGACAGACCAUUUGAUCUUUUCUAUUGUCUGUCUAAGUUGGCCCAUAUACAUCAUGUGUGUUUGUAUUGAAUACAUUGAAAUGGGUUGUCUUUUUCUACAUUCAUUUAUCAAAGAUACAUUUUAUUAGGGUUAUGUAGUAAUGUACUCAAUUCAAUGUAUUCAAAAACUAACAUUUGUAAUGCUUACUGUAAAUACAUUGUCAUUAAUAUGUUAAGAUACAACAAAUGACUGUACACACCAUGAUGUGUAUAAAUGCAUGACCAUGCCCGACCUCCAAAUACAUUAUUUAACCAUGGAUAGACACAACUGAAGUGACCAGAAUGCUGUUUAUGGUUUGUUGUUUCCUAAGAUAGGUUUUUUUCCAGUGUUUGCUUGAGAAGGAAGAAACCAGAUUAUAACUUCUGGCAUCGGUAGUGAUCCAGUGAUUUUAGGCUUUUG
Clupea harengus (Atlantic herring) is the source of this 6439-nucleotide long non-coding RNA. The record is from Ensembl. NCBI's taxonomy places the organism in Eukaryota, Metazoa, Chordata, Actinopteri, Clupeiformes, Clupeidae.